GACGUACGUACGGACGGGGGCGACGGCAAUAUACGUCCACAUUUCUAUGUGGGCGUAUAAAAAUGGCUAUACUGUGCCGAUGGUGCGUGAAAAUCUUCUAUUGUUUUGCACUCGUUAUACUAUACGUAUUUCUUAUCUCUGGAAUUGUCAAGCACCACCAAAGUUGUGGCCUUGACACCGGAAAGGUUACACCCAGAGCAGGGGAUUUUUUUUAUCUAACACGCGGUCUUCGUGAGAACUUUCUUUACACAUAUGUAGACACCAACACUAUAACAUCCUGUUGACGUCCUGUUGACCUUGAUACAGACAACAUUAUUAUAGUUGUAUAUAUAUAAUAAAUCAUUAUCUAUUAGGUUUCGGCCAUAGUAGAGGAGAAUUGGUCGACAAGAACAAUAUUAUUAUAGAUGGUACAAUGUUGAUGAAUAAAAUGUUGACUAUAGAUAGAGUAUUAAUCUGUCUGCUUAUAUUCAGUUAUGUAUAUUUUGUAUUGGAUAAUACUGAAUACUGUGGCGGUCGCCACGGUGGUUAUGUAGAUCCGAAUGUAAUCAGUCAGCAUCCACUCGACAUCAUUUCCGAACCAUUCAGUGUAAAUAAUAGGACAUCUGCGCAUGAUUUAAGACUGGCAUUGUUAAAUGCUAAGAUCAAUGCUAUCGUGAAUGAACAUAAACUUAAAAUGGAGAUUCUGCGACAACAAGUCAUCGAAAGAUAAUAAAACCCCAUUACGAAAUCCAACGAAAUUCUAGAGUGGCAUACCUAAAACGUAUUGAAAACAAAACACAUUUUGUCAUACUGGCAUGGUUAAUAUGUUGUUUUUAUAUAUAUAUACGACAUAAUCUUUUCGAUUUUAAAUUUCUGAUACCGUAAUGUGUAUAAUAAAGAUUUCAUUUGAAAGUA
Long non-coding RNA from Patella vulgata (common limpet), 894 nucleotides. RefSeq lists it as uncharacterized. The record is from RefSeq and is a predicted model, not a curated record. The transcript is spliced from 2 exons. NCBI's taxonomy places the organism in Eukaryota, Metazoa, Mollusca, Gastropoda, Patellidae.